AGAGUUUGAUCCUGGCUCAGAUUGAACGCUGGCGGCAGGCCUAACACAUGCAAGUCGAACGGUAACAGAAAGCAGCUUGCUGCUUUGCUGACGAGUGGCGGACGGGUGAGUAAUGUCUGGGAAACUGCCCGAUGGAGGGGGAUAACUACUGGAAACGGUAGCUAAUACCGCAUAACGUCGCAAGACCAAAGAGGGGGACCUUAGGGCCUCUUGCCAUCGGAUGUGCCCAGAUGGGAUUAGCUAGUAGGUGGGGUAACGGCUCACCUAGGCGACGAUCCCUAGCUGGUCUGAGAGGAUGACCAGCCACACUGGAACUGAGACACGGUCCAGACUCCUACGGGAGGCAGCAGUGGGGAAUAUUGCACAAUGGGCGCAAGCCUGAUGCAGCCAUGCCGCGUGUAUGAAGAAGGCCUUCGGGUUGUAAAGUACUUUCAGCGGGGAGGAAGGGAGUAAAGUUAAUACCUUUGCUCAUUGACGUUACCCGCAGAAGAAGCACCGGCUAACUCCGUGCCAGCAGCCGCGGUAAUACGGAGGGUGCAAGCGUUAAUCGGAAUUACUGGGCGUAAAGCGCACGCAGGCGGUUUGUUAAGUCAGAUGUGAAAUCCCCGGGCUCAACCUGGGAACUGCAUCUGAUACUGGCAAGCUUGAGUCUCGUAGAGGGGGGUAGAAUUCCAGGUGUAGCGGUGAAAUGCGUAGAGAUCUGGAGGAAUACCGGUGGCGAAGGCGGCCCCCUGGACGAAGACUGACGCUCAGGUGCGAAAGCGGGGGGAGCAAACAGGAUUAGAUACCCUGGUAGUCCA
RNAcentral lists this ribosomal RNA (800 nucleotides) under uncultured bacterium. Its description in RNAcentral is "bacterial SSU rRNA". It matches the Rfam family "Bacterial small subunit ribosomal RNA", at positions 8 to 797 of the family's 1533-position model. The record is from RNAcentral.